UUGGUGGUUCUAUUACAUAAAUGUUGGUGGUUCUAUUACACGAAGGUUGAUGGUUGAAGAUGACCGUUGAAUCUUGAAGUAUUUAGAUUUUGAUUUUGUUUUCGUUAAACAAUGUUUCUCAACUUGGUUUUCGUUCUAUGCUUUUAUUUAUUUGGUUUUUUUUUAUCAGUAAAUAUGUUUACUUUUUGUUUGAUUUUGAAUGAUCAUAGUUGAUGUUCCUUAUUUUUGAAUCGAUUUUACUUAAGUUUUGGUUACAAAAUAAGUACGAAUCAAGUAUUUUAAAACCGAAGAACCGAUUUUACUCAUGUUUUGGUUAUAAAAUAGGUAAAAAUCAGGUACUUUUAAACCGAAAAACUGAUUGGGACCCGAACCCGAAAGUAUAUUGGGUUCUGCCGGUUCUUUGAAGAUUUACUAACUCCAAUCCGAACCCG
RNAcentral lists this long non-coding RNA (431 nucleotides) under Brassica rapa (field mustard). RNAcentral describes it as "long non-coding RNA (BRAP_LNC000681)". The record is from RNAcentral. Lineage: Eukaryota; Viridiplantae; Streptophyta; Magnoliopsida; Brassicales; Brassicaceae.